CAGCGUACGUUUAUAUUAAAAAUUAAGCCAUGCACGUGUAAGAAUAAGCUCGUUUGUAUAGUUAGUCUGCACAAAGCUCCGUAAUCAGAUGUAACCGUACCCAAGUGUUAGUUACUUGGAUAACCGUAGUAACUCUAGAGCUAAUACAUGUACGAUCCCAUGUUAAAGUGGGAGUCAUUUUUAGUUAGAGAUGCUUCACUGGGGUAACUCAGUUUUGGUGAGGCAUUUAAAUAGAACGACCGCAUGAGCUUGACUCGGCGGCGCUUGGGACGGGCAUCUGCUCUAUCAGCUUGUUGGUAGUGUAUUGGACUACCAAGGCUUUUACGGAUACAGGGAAUUGGCGUUCGAUUCUGGAGAGGGAGCCUGAGAAACAGCUCCCACUUCUAAGGAAGGCAGCAGGCGUGAAAAUUGCUCAAUCGCCAAAGGCGGAGGCAGUGACGAUAUAUAACAAUGCGGGGGCUACGGCUUUCGCAAUUGGAAUGGGUUAGUGGUAAAAUUCCUUUCGAGGAACUACUG
This 516-nucleotide ribosomal RNA is filed under the name uncultured eukaryote. Its description in RNAcentral is "bacterial SSU rRNA". It matches the Rfam family "Eukaryotic small subunit ribosomal RNA", at positions 25 to 550 of the family's 1831-position model. The record is from RNAcentral.